This is a non-coding RNA of Microcebus murinus (gray mouse lemur), 1945 nucleotides long. Lineage: Eukaryota; Metazoa; Chordata; Mammalia; Primates; Cheirogaleidae. The record is from RefSeq and is a predicted model, not a curated record.
UGGCCCCUGCCCCUCCCCAUGGCCCUCCCAGCACCGCCUCUGCCGGCGAAGGGGUAGGGUGCACAGGGCAGGGCCCGCCCUCUCUACCGGAGCAGCAGAUGGGAGCCUCCGCUCCAGGCUGGGAAGUCCUGGGAGGGGAGCUGGCCUCACUGCCAGGGCAAGAGGGUGAAUCAGGCGCUGGAGUUUUCCACCAGUACCUGCCCCGUGGCUUCAAGGCAGGGCUCUGAUCUAGACCUUCACAGGCACUGCACUUCCCUUGGGGUUUUCCUGGAAAAGCACUCUGAGCACAUCUUCGGAAGCACAAUGUAGAAAGGACACAGGCUUGCAGUCAGACACUCGGGUACCAUGUGUCAGUCAUGGCAGCCAGGAGUGGCCUCCAGAGGAAAGAGAGUUCCCCUUCCUUCUCCAUCUUCUUCCACUGGAAACUGCAGGAUCCGUCAGGGUUUCCCUUCCUGGCAGGGAAAGCAGACAGUGCUGACAGCUGCCCUCCUCCACCACCACCACCGUCUCUCCACCUUCAUUGGCUAAAGCCACGUCCAGGUCAUCCAGGUGCACACGCUUCCUUUCCCCGCCCUGGCCCGGCCAUCAGCAUUCGCACAGCCCAGUCUGCCAGCCCCACCUGGGCUGUUGGGGGCUCUCCCCUUCACCCCCCACCUGGUUUAAUGAUCUAAGGCUGUUUGGCACCAGUGACUGAAAAAACACACCCAUUACCCCACCUGAGCCCCACAACAAACCUGUGGAGGUGCCUCGUACCAACUCCACCUGAAAAACAGAGAACAUGAACUCCAAGCAGCUCCUGCAGAGACACGUGGCAAGGUAGAGGCAAGUGGGGUCUGGAACCGUAUCCCCUGCUCCUUACGCCCACAGGCGAUCACCACGCCCACAGGACUCCGGCCACCAUGCUGAGCUGUCUACAUCCCUCCCUAGGCUCGCAGGUUCUGGCAGCUUCGCGGGAGGAUGACAGAGAGCCGGGCAUGACGUGCUAGAGCAGCCUCCCCAGCCCGCGUCACCAGGCACCUUCCCACACCCCCGUUUUUCUGUCUCAUAGCUCUUUGCUCUUUUCUUCCGUAGCAUUUGUCACAUUUGUUGUUUAAGAAAUAGCAUCUGUUUUUGCUCCCCAUGCAGCACGAGCCUGGCGCACGGUAAGUGCUCUGUGAACCGUCUCAGCAAGGGAGCUGCCGCCGCACCACGGCAGAGCCUGGCGCCCUUGGGAAGCGCCCGGCCAGCUGUUCUCCAGGAAGCAGCAGCCAAGGCUGAACCCAGUGGGCCUGCUGUCAUUGCUUCUUGCAAACUCUUCAAGGGACAACAUAUCAAAACUUGAAGACUAGUAAAGAUUUCAGCGGAUUCCUGCUGACAUUUAAAAAACUAAGAAAAUCAGCCAGGGAACCUGCACGCCCUCAGACUGCGGCUCUAGGAAUUGCAGGGUGCUCCCUGGAUCGGCACCAGAAGAACCAUCUGAGCAGAGGCGGCAGACACCUCCGCACGCACGCAGUCAGGGGAAAUGCAGCCGCCACCUCAGACACACCCACAGCAACAGCCAGACACACAGGCCAGCUCCCGCCACCCGGUCGGAGCACACAGCCAGGGCAGGGGCCUGGGAGGCGUGGAGGGCGGCCUGACAGCCUCCUCUGCUCCACGCCUGCACCACCCUGCACCGCGGCCCCCACCUCUGCUUGGUGGGCCACCAGAGGGCCCGGGAGGAGGCAGGCUCUCGACGUGGGGGGCUCAAGGCCGCAGGCAGAGGGAUAGAAACCAGACAGAGCUGCUGGCAGCCGGGGGGAGAGGCAGAUUUAAUGGAAUGCAAGGUAAGAGGGCCUGUGGCCAACAAUGUUCUCACCCACCAGCCCUCGCCCAGCUCCCCAAGGCCCAUCUCAAAGGAUGCUCUUGAAAUCUGCAUUGCACUUUGCCCUUGGAGAGGAGAGCUGGGGUGGGAGGCCCCAGCUCA